CUUGCCAAGAAAGAGCCCUGCUGGAGAAGGCUUCACAUCCAGGCUGUCACUGCAGCUGCUGCCAGCAGCAUCCCCUGCACAGAACUGCUGCAGCCAUGGAGCUGCAGGCACCAGCUGGGCUCAGCACUGGGGAAGAGUCUGGAGAAGGGUUUGGAUCAGCCCCAGCCACCCCCUGCUCUCAGGGAACAGGGAAUGGAAGGAAUGACCUGAAUUUUCAAGUCCAACUCGCAGGAAGUGUGGCCAGCAGAGAAUCCCAAGUGAUCCUGG
Molecule: long non-coding RNA, 267 nt
Organism: Parus major (Great Tit)
Lineage: Eukaryota; Metazoa; Chordata; Aves; Passeriformes; Paridae
Exons: 3
Source: RefSeq, a predicted model, not a curated record